Molecule: ribosomal RNA, 1448 nt
Filed under: uncultured Bordetella sp.
Lineage: Bacteria; Pseudomonadati; Pseudomonadota; Betaproteobacteria; Burkholderiales; Alcaligenaceae
Description: partial 16S-23S ribosomal RNA intergenic spacer
Rfam family: Bacterial small subunit ribosomal RNA
Source: RNAcentral
GGUUCGAUCCUGGUCACUGAACGCUGGCGGAUGCUUUACACAUGCAAGUCGAACGGCAGCACGACUUCGGUCUGGUGGCGAGUGGCGAACGGGUGAGUAACGGUUCGGAAACGUGCCUAGUAGCGGGGAUAACUACGCGAAAGCGUGUUAAUACCGCAUACGUUCUUCGGGGGAAAGUGGGGACCUUCGGGCCUCGCACUAUUAGGAGCGGCUGAGCACGGAUUAAAUAGUUGGUGGGGUAACGGCUCACCAAGGCGACGAUCCGUAGCUGGUUUGAGAGACGACCAGCCACACCGGGACUGAGACACGGCCUGUGACUCCCAUGGAUGCGGCAGUGGGAAAUUUUGGACAAUGGGGGAAACCCUGAUCCAGCCAUCCGCGUGUGCGAUGAAGGCCUUCGGGUUGUAAAGCACUUUUGGCAGAAAGAAACGGCACGGGAUAAUACCCUUUUUGCAACCGGACGUUGGUACCAGAAUAAGCACCGGCUAACUACGUGUCAGCAGCCGCGGUAAUAAUGUAGGGUGCGCGUUAAUCGGAAUUACUGGGCGUAAAGCGUGCGCAGGCGGUUCGGAAAGAAAGAUGUGAAAUCCCCAGAGCUUAACUUUGAAACUAUAUUUUUAACUACCGAGCUAGAUGCGUCAGAGGGAGGUGGAAUUCCGCGUGUGGCAGGAAAUGCAGAUAUGCGGAGGAACACCGAUGGCGAAGGCAGCCUCCGGGAUAACACUGACGCCUGCGCAUCGAAAGCGUGGGGAGCAAACAGGAUUGAUACUCCGUAGUCCACGCCCCAAACGACGUCAACUAGCUGUUGGGGCCGGCCUUGUAAAGCAGCUAACGCGUUGACCGCCUGGGGAGUACGGUCGCAAGAUUAAAACUCAAAGGAAUUGACGGGGACCCGCACGUUGCGGAUGAUGUGGAUUAAUUGAUGCAACGCGAAAAACCUUACUCACUGACAUGUCUGGAAUCCCGGAAGAGAUUUGGGAGUGCUCGCAAGAGAACCGGAACACAGGUGCCGUGGCUGGCUGCCGUCAGCUCGUGUCGUGAGAUGCUGUUGUCCCGCAACGAGCGCAACCUAUGUCAUUAGUUGCUACGAAAGGGCACUUAAUGAGACUGCCGGUGACAAACCGAGGAAGGUGAUGACGUCAAGUCCUCAUUGGCCCUUGCGGUAGGGUUUCAGCACGUCAUACAAUGGUCGGGACAGUGGUCGCCAACCCGCGAGGGGAGCCAAUCCCAGAAACCCGAUCGGUCCGGAUCGCCUGCAACUCGACUGCGUGAAGUCGGAAUCGCUAGUAAUCGCGGAUCAGCAUGUCGCGGUGAAUACGUUCCCGGGUCUGGUACACACCGCCCGUCACACCAUGGGAGUGGGUUUUACCAGAAGUAGUUAGCCUAACCGUAAGGAGGGCGAUUACCACGGUAGGAUUCAUGACUGGGGUGAAGUCGUAACAAGGCAA